UAAAAAAAAAGAAUAAGCAAAAAAUGAGUUUUGCAAUUUUGUAAUUGGAUUUUAGGAAAGCAAGCAGUAAAUUAACUUGACAAAUCAGAUGUUAAUAUUGAGUUCUUGUGUGUGUGUGUGUGUGUGUGUGUGUGGUGCUGAGGACUGAACCCAGUAUCUUGCACAUACAAGGUAAGCAACUCCACUAACUGAGCUAUAUCCCCAGCCCCUAAUGUUGGAGUUGUAA
RNAcentral lists this small RNA (226 nucleotides) under Marmota monax (woodchuck). The record is from RNAcentral. Lineage: Eukaryota; Metazoa; Chordata; Mammalia; Rodentia; Sciuridae.